Molecule: ribosomal RNA, 253 nt
Filed under: uncultured bacterium
Lineage: Bacteria
Description: partial 16S ribosomal RNA
Rfam family: Bacterial small subunit ribosomal RNA
Source: RNAcentral
UACGUAGGGUGCGAGCGUUGCCCGGAUUUAUUGGGCGUAAAGGGCGCGUAGGCGGCUCGGCACGUCCGUUGUGAAAUCGCCCGGCUCAACUGGGCGGGGUCAGCGGAUACGGUCGAGCUUGAGCAAGCUAGGGGGCAAUGGAAUUCCCGGUGUAGUGGUGGAAUGCGUAGAUAUCGGGAGGAACACCAGUGGCGAAGGCGACUACCUGGCCUGUUCUUGACGCUGAGGCGCGAAAGCUAGGGGAGCAAACGGG